AGAGUUUGAUCCUGGCUCAGAUUGAACGCUGGCGGAAUGCUUUACACAUGCAAGUCGAACGGUAGAGGGGGCAACCCCUUGAGAGUGGCGAACGGGUGAGUAAUAUAUCGGAACGUGCCCAGUCGUGGGGGAUAACGUAGUGAAAAUUACGCUAAUACCGCAUACGAUCUAAGGAUGAAAGCGGGGGAUCGCAAGACCUCGCGCGAUUGGAGCGGCCGAUAUCAGAUUAGGUAGUUGGUAGGGUAAAGGCCUACCAAGCCAACGAUCUGUAGCUGGUCUGAGAGGACGACCAGCCACACUGGAACUGAGACACGGUCCAGACUCCUACGGGAGGCAGCAGUGGGGAAUUUUGGACAAUGGGCGAAAGCCUGAUCCAGCCAUUCCGCGUGCAGGAUGAAGGCCCUCGGGUUGUAAACUGCUUUUGUACAGAACGAAAAGGUCUCUAUUAAUACUAGGGGCUCAUGACGGUACUGUAAGAAUAAGCACCGGCUAACUACGUGCCAGCAGCCGCGGUAAUACGUAGGGUGCAAGCGUUAAUCGGAAUUACUGGGCGUAAAGCGUGCGCAGGCGGUUAUAUAAGUCAGAUGUGAAAUCCCCGGGCUCAACCUGGGAACUGCAUUUGAGACUGUAUAGCUAGAGUACGGUAGAGGGGGAUGGAACUCCGCGUGUAGCAGUGAAAUGCGUAGAUAUGCGGAGGAACACCGAUGGCGAAGGCAAUCCCCUGGACCUGUACUGACGCUCAUGCACGAAAGCGUGGGGAGCAAACAGGAUUAGAUACCCUGGUAGUCCACGCCCUAAACGAUGUCAACUG
RNAcentral lists this ribosomal RNA (811 nucleotides) under uncultured bacterium. Its description in RNAcentral is "bacterial SSU rRNA". It matches the Rfam family "Bacterial small subunit ribosomal RNA", at positions 8 to 818 of the family's 1533-position model. The record is from RNAcentral.